Ictalurus punctatus (channel catfish) is the source of this 527-nucleotide long non-coding RNA. Lineage: Eukaryota; Metazoa; Chordata; Actinopteri; Siluriformes; Ictaluridae. The record is from Ensembl.
AGAGAGAGAGAGAGAGAGAGCGCGGUACUGAGAUCUGUCCUUCCUGUGAGCAGGUGUGAUGCAGUGUGUGUGAGAGUGUGUGUGAGAGUGUGUGUGAGAGUGUGUGUGAGAGUGUGUGUGAGAGUGUGUGUGAGAGUGUGUGUGAGAGUGUGUGAGAGAGUGUGUGAGAGAGUGUGUGAGAGAGUGUGUGUGAGAGUGUGUGUGAGAGUGUGUGUGAGAGUGUGUGUGAGAGUGUGUGAGUGAGUGUGUGAGUGAGUGUGUGAGUGAGUGUGUGAGUGAGUGUGUGAGUGAGUGUGUGAGUGAGUGUGUGAGUGAGUGUGUGAGUGAGUGUGUGAGUGAGUGAGUGAGUGUGUGAGUGUGUGAGUGAGUGAGUGAGUGUGUGUGAGUGUGUGUGAGUGUGUGUGAGUGUGUGUGAGUGUGUGUGAGUGUGUGUGAUGUGUGUGAGUGUGUGUGAGUGUGUGUGAGUGUGUGUGAGUGUGUGUGAGUGUGUGUGAGUGUGUGUGUGUGUGAGUGUGUGUGUGAGGUAC